This 429-nucleotide ribosomal RNA is filed under the name Actinomycetes bacterium. RNAcentral's name for it is "Actinobacteria bacterium partial 16S ribosomal RNA". It matches the Rfam family "Bacterial small subunit ribosomal RNA", at positions 355 to 776 of the family's 1533-position model. Lineage: Bacteria; Bacillati; Actinomycetota; Actinomycetes. The record is from RNAcentral.
UAGGGAAUCUUCCGCAAUGGGCGAAAGCCUGACGGAGCAACGCCGCGUGAGUGAUGAAGGUCUUCGGAUCGUAAAACUCUGUUAUUAGGGAAGAACAAAUGUGUAAGUAACUAUGCACGUCUUGACGGUACCUAAUCAGAAAGCCACGGCUAACUACGUGCCAGCAGCCGCGGUAAUACGUAGGUGGCAAGCGUUAUCCGGAAUUAUUGGGCGUAAAGCGCGCGUAGGCGGUUUUUUAAGUCUGAUGUGAAAGCCCACGGCUCAACCGUGGAGGGUCAUUGGAAACUGGAAAACUUGAGUGCAGAAGAGGAAAGUGGAAUUCCAUGUGGAGCGGUGAAAUGCGCAGAGAUAUGGAGGAACACGAGUGGGGAAGGCGACUUUCUGGUCUGGAAAUGACGCUGAUGUGCGAAAGCGUGGGGAUCAAACAGG